Long non-coding RNA from Capsicum annuum, 361 nucleotides. RefSeq lists it as uncharacterized. The record is from RefSeq and is a predicted model, not a curated record. The transcript is spliced from 2 exons. NCBI's taxonomy places the organism in Eukaryota, Viridiplantae, Streptophyta, Magnoliopsida, Solanales, Solanaceae.
CUUGCUGAAAUCCAAAAAAGAAAGAAAUGAUGAUGAUCAGUUACACUUGCAAAAGGAAAAUAACAAAUUCUGCAGCUGUGGUUGGAUAUGAUAGUUCCUAUUUCCUUAUAUCUUCUUACACAAUAUUCCUUGAGAUACCAAGUACCAUUAUUGGAGGAAUCAAUAACAAUAGAGGUUGAUUGUCAUGGUGAGUGGAUGGAGAAAAAUAAUUGAUUUAUUUGGCAUUGAAAUGAUAGUGAAAUAUUAGAGAUUAUAGCGACGACAGUCAAAGAGAUGUUUUGUAUGAUGAUUUUAUGAACUUAAUCAUCAACUUUUGUGGACUAAAUUGCCAACCAAAAGAUCUUGUCAUCAGUUGCAUGCA